AGAGGGGGAUAACGUUUGGAAACGAACGCUAAUACCGCAUGAUAUUAUUGAGCUGCAUGGCUUGAUAAUCAAAGGAGUAAUCCGCUGAAAGAUGGGCUCGCGUCCGAUUAGGUAGUUGGCGGGGCAACGGCCCACCAAGCCGACGAUCGGUAGCCGGACUGAGAGGUUGAACGGCCACAUUGGGACUGAGACACGGCCCAGACUCCUACGGGAGGCAGCAGUGAGGGAUAUUGGUCAAUGGGGGAAACCCUGAACCAGCAACGCCGCGUGAGGGAAGACGGUUUUCGGAUUGUAAACCUCUGUCCUCUGUGAAGAUAAUGACGGUAGCAGAGGAGGAAGCUCCGGCUAACUACGUGCCAGCAGCCGCGGUAAUACGUAGGGAGCAAGCGUUGUCCGGAUUUACUGGGUGUAAAGGGUGCGUAGGCGGCUUUGCAAGUCAGAAGUGAAAUCCAUGGGCUUAACCCAUGAACUGCUUUUGAAACUGCAGAGCUUGAGUGGAGUAGAGGUAGGCGGAAUUCCCGGUGUAGCGGUGAAAUGCGUAGAGAUCGGGAGGAACACCAGUGGCGAAGGCGGCCUGCUGGGCUCUAACUGACGCUGAGGCACGAAAGCGUGGGUAGCAAACAGGAUUAGAUACCCUGGUAGUCCACGCUGUAAACGAUGAUUACUAGGUGUGGGUGGACUGACCCCAUCCGUGCCGGAGUUA
RNAcentral lists this ribosomal RNA (703 nucleotides) under uncultured bacterium. RNAcentral's name for it is "bacterial SSU rRNA". It matches the Rfam family "Bacterial small subunit ribosomal RNA", at positions 135 to 854 of the family's 1533-position model. The record is from RNAcentral.